Molecule: ribosomal RNA, 518 nt
Filed under: uncultured Paracoccus sp.
Lineage: Bacteria; Pseudomonadati; Pseudomonadota; Alphaproteobacteria; Rhodobacterales; Paracoccaceae
Description: bacterial SSU rRNA
Rfam family: Bacterial small subunit ribosomal RNA
Source: RNAcentral
UUCCCCUCCGGAGGCAGCAGUGGGGAAUAUUAGACAAUGGGCGCAAGCCUGAUCUACCCAUGCCGCGUGGGUGAUGAAGCCCUUAGGGUGGUAAAGCCCUUUCGCCGGGGAAGAUAAUGACGGUACCCGGUAAAGAAACCCCGGCUAACUCUGUGCCCGCACCCGCGGUAAUACGGAGGGGGUUAGCGUUUUUCGGAAUUUCUGGGCGUAAAGCGCGCGUAGGCGGAUCUUCAAGUCGGGGGUGAAAUCCCGGGGCUCACCCCCGGAAUGGCCUUCGAGACUGUGGCUCUUGAGUUCGAGAGAGGUGAGUGGAAUUCCGAGUGUAGAGGUGAAAUUUGUAGAUAUUCGGAGGAACACCAGUGGCGAAGGCGCCUCCCUGUCUCGACCCUGACGCUGAGGCGCGAAAGCGUGGGGAGCACACAGGAUUAUAUACCCUGGUAGUCCCCGCCGUAAACGAUGUACACCAUGGGUCGGGGGGCUUGCCCUUCGGUGUCGCACCUAACGCUUAAGCUUCCGCU